CCUACUGGAGGCAUCAUUGAGGAAUCUUGGUCAAUGGCCGGAAGGCUGAACCAGCCAAGCCGCGUGAAGGACGACGGUGCCAAGCAUUGUCAACUUCUUUUGUCAAUGGACAAAAUCAGGCUCGAGAGCCUGACCGAGGGUACUUGAAGAAAAAGCAUCGGCUAACUCCGUGCCAGCAGCCGCGGUAAGACGGAGGAUGCGAGCGUUAUCCGGAUUGAUUGGGUUAAACGGGUGCGUAGGCGGACUGUUAAGUCAGCGGUAAAAGCCCGGGGCUCAACCCCGGCGAGCCGUUGAAACUGGCUGUCUUGAGAUGUCGAGAGGUAUGCGGAAUGCGCAGUGUAGCGGUGAAAUGCUUAGAUAUUGCGCAGAACUCCGAUUGCGAAGGCAGCAUACCGGCGGCGAUCUGACGCUGAGGCACGAAAGCGUGGGUAUCGAACAGGAUUAGAUACCCGAGUAGUC
Molecule: ribosomal RNA, 459 nt
Filed under: uncultured bacterium
Lineage: Bacteria
Description: partial 16S ribosomal RNA
Rfam family: Bacterial small subunit ribosomal RNA
Source: RNAcentral